Lotus japonicus is the source of this 1420-nucleotide RNA transcript. It is a transcript of the gene named transcription factor bHLH162-like, with no coding region annotated. Lineage: Eukaryota; Viridiplantae; Streptophyta; Magnoliopsida; Fabales; Fabaceae. The transcript is spliced from 5 exons. The record is from RefSeq and is a predicted model, not a curated record.
UUUUUAAUAGUUAACAGGGGUUUUAAUAACCCCCGCAAAAUAUUUCGUUAAUUACCUCUCAUCUCACUCUCACUCUCGCGACCCCUCACUCUCACUCUGAACUCGUUCUCGUUCUCUCCUUUACCAUGGAAGCUCACGAUUGCAACCAGAUUUGAUCUCGAUUUCCACCGAUUUGAUCCUGAUUUCCACCGAUUUCCACCGAUUGCAACCUGAUUUCCACCGAUUUCAACCUCCACUGAUCUCUUCUGAUUCGACUCUCAAUUUCACUCUCCUGAUUCCACUCUCGAUUAAACCCUAAAAUCUUCUCUCAAUCCUCUUCCUGAUUCCUCAAUCUCCAGUGUUUCACAAGAAAACGCUCAAUCUCAGCUUCAUUUGCAUUUUACUGGUCCAUUUCUCUGCCCUCACAGUUCAAAAUCGUCUCAUCCGGUUUUGUAUUAUCUACUAAAUAAAAAUGAGGACCAUGUCUCUGUUAUCAAGGAGUACAGGGGAAAGAUUGAGGCUGAGUUCAACAAGAUCUGAUAUUGUUCUUGCUGAACUUGCUCCCACCCACCCGAUUAGGCUCGGUCUUGCGCUCAACUUUUCUGUGUUCUAUUAUGAAAUCCUUAACUCACGAGAUCAUGCUUGUAAUCUUCCAAAGCAGGCAUUUGAUGAGGUGAUUUCUGAGCUUGACACAUUGGGUGAAGAGUCAUACAAGGUCAGUACAUUGAUCACGCAGCUUCUCUGAGACAAUCUGACUUUGUGGACAUUCGGCAUCACGGUAUCUCUCUCUUACUCUCUCCUCUCAUGUUGUGUACUCAUACACUACAUAUCUCUUCAUUUGUGUUUGGCUGUAGACUUUCUGGAUUGAUAACUUGGUGCACAUUUUGUAAUUCCAUAACCUUGUUGUCAAACCUUGAUGGCUGAAUUCUUUCGUGAGAAGAAAGUGUAAACCUUUUUUUUAGGAGUCAUGCUUGUUCCAUAGAAGAGAGUUUGAGAUAAAUUUAUGUUUGGUUAUAAAAAUCCUAAGUUCUCUUAAUAUCCUUUUGUCUGGAUUUUCAUACUUGUCCUUUUUCUUGCAAUGCAGUAGUCUAGGUUACCUUUGAACUUAGUGGGGCAAAUUUAACUUUAUCCUCAUACUUGCCUAAACAAUGACAAACAAAUCAGCACAUAUUUUUGUGAAGAAUCCAUUACAUGCCUAUGCUUUAUAGUAGCUUUUACUGUUAUAAAAUCUUACCUUAUAUUUGUUAGUUAAGUUGGUUGUCUAUCAUGAAGCUUGCGGGCUUUUCCUAGAAGUAAGUAAGUAGACUUCUAGACCACUUUAUGUUUCAAUUCUCAUGAGGGAUGAUCAAUUAUCUAGAGAUGCUAGAGGUCCCUAAUGACAUAGAAAUAGUGUAAAUAAUCUCUUGCAUUUAAGGGAGGUUGAAAACUCCCGUUAGAAAAA